RNAcentral lists this long non-coding RNA (235 nucleotides) under Mytilus galloprovincialis (Mediterranean mussel). Lineage: Eukaryota; Metazoa; Mollusca; Bivalvia; Mytilida; Mytilidae. The record is from RNAcentral.
UCUCAACCCUCCCCCUAUACCUCUAGCCAAUGUAGAAAAGUAAACGCAUAACAAUACGUACAUUUAAAAUUCAAUUCAAGAGAAGUCCGAGUCUGAUGUCAGAAGAUGUAACCAAAGAAAAUAAACAAAAUGACAAUUGUACAUAAAUAACAACAGACUACUAGCAGUUAACUGACAUGCCAGCUCCAGACUUCAAUUAAACUGAUUGAAAGAUUAUGAUUUCAUCAUAUCAAUA